UCCUAUAUAGUUUUAUUGUAUUCCUUGUAUUCCUUGGAUUGGGUUUUGACUUUCUCCUGAAUGUCAAUGAUCAUUCCUAUCCAUAUUCUGAAUUCUAUUUUUGUCAUUUCAGCCUUUUCAGCCUGGUUAGGAAACAUUGCUGGGGAACUAGUGCAGUGAUUUGGAGUGCUCUCAGAGUGUAGGCUCCUUUCCCACUCAAGUGCUGGCUGCAGAUCUGGGUUUGGCACUCCUGGACGUCAUACUGCAGUCCCGGGCUUGCCCAUGGUCAUCUGGAAAAGGGAACCACUGAGAACUCAUGAUGCCUUACUUACAGAACGGUCCUGUGGGGUAAAUGAGAAAUCCUAUACAGAGAAGAUGGCACCUAAAGAAAUCCUAUACAGAGAAGAUGGCACCUAGUCUUCAACAAAUGUUCAUCCUGGCCCACUUUUCUUCUCCUUCCCAGAGAAGUGAUGACUGUCAUCUAAACCAAACAGCAUAACUACCACAGAGACCAGCUGGUAAUGGAGUAGGAAGAAGUAGCAUAUACUUACAUUUAGUUUAUAAAUGAAGCUUUGGGGCUAUUUCUGUGAUGCAGGAUGGCUUUGCCAAGGAAUGUAGGAAGAGGGAAAAGAUCAUCAAACCAUUUCUUUAAUUCUGUGUCAUUUUUGCCCCAUUAUUUGAGCUUCUAUACUGAUACUGGAAAAAUAGUUUCCUAUGGAGUCUCAAAUAAAGAGUGCAGAUAAAGAGGAGAGAGAAGUCACAUGCCCUUGACCCUCAUACCAUUACCACCUACAGGACUCUGAACCAGGAUUUCAUCUGCACCAGUGGGUAAUUCAAAGUGGGAGGAGUUGUUGAAUGUGUAUCCAUGAGGGCACAAUAUUACAAACGUGUAAAACUACUAGGUUUUAAAUCCUAGAAUGUCAUGGUGUAUAAAAUAUUGAUAAUUAUUGCUUUGGUUUUGAAUUAGGGGAAAAUAUAUCCUCGUAUACUUGGAA
Long non-coding RNA from Nomascus leucogenys (northern white-cheeked gibbon), 974 nucleotides. RefSeq lists it as uncharacterized. The record is from RefSeq and is a predicted model, not a curated record. The transcript has 3 exons. Lineage: Eukaryota; Metazoa; Chordata; Mammalia; Primates; Hylobatidae.